This 492-nucleotide ribosomal RNA is filed under the name uncultured bacterium. RNAcentral's name for it is "partial 16S ribosomal RNA". It matches the Rfam family "Bacterial small subunit ribosomal RNA", at positions 29 to 507 of the family's 1533-position model. The record is from RNAcentral.
AGUGAACGCUGGCGGUAGGCCUAACACAUGCAAGUCGAACGGCAGCACAGUAAGAGCUUGCUCUUACGGGUGGCGAGUGGCGGACGGGUGAGGAAUACAUCGGAAUCUACUUUUUCGUGGGGGAUAACGUAGGGAAACUUACGCUAAUACCGCAUACGACCUACGGGUGAAAGCAGGGGAUCUUCGGACCUUGCGCGAUUGAAUGAGCCGAUGUCGGAUUAGCUAGUUGGCGGGGUAAAGGCCCACCAAGGCGACGAUCCGUAGCUGGUCUGAGAGGAUGAUCAGCCACACUGGAACUGAGACACGGUCAAGACCACUACGGGAGGCAGCAGUGGGGAAUAUUGGACAAUGGGCGCAAGCCUGAUCCAGCCAUACCGCGUGGGUGAAGAAGGCCUUCGGGUUGUAAAGCCCUUUUGUUGGGAAAGAAAAGCAGCAGGUUAAUACCCCGCUGUUCUGACGGUACCCAAAGAAUAAGCACCGGCUAACUUCGUG